CUCCUCUCAGGGUCGCACCUGGAGAGCUUCUAGUACUCAACCAGUCUUGACUAUGGGAGGAAGCGUCAAGCAGAGGCUUACCCAUUCCAUUCCUAGCUUGGACAGUAGCUAGCGAGUAGAAGGCAAUCUGCUACAAGU
Ornithorhynchus anatinus (platypus) is the source of this 138-nucleotide non-coding RNA. NCBI's taxonomy places the organism in Eukaryota, Metazoa, Chordata, Mammalia, Monotremata, Ornithorhynchidae. The record is from Rfam.